CUCAGGAGCAUCCAAGGUUCCAUCCUCUGCAGCUGAUUCAGUGCAGGAAUUCCAGCUGGAAGUGAGGAUCAUGACCAUCAUGGGACAGUGAGAAAUGAGACUCGGGGCUGCCUUGGUUUUUAUCGUUGUUUUGCUUCCUUAAUCUCAGAGCAGGCUGUGGUGUUUCCUUCACACGACUUCUCACCUGAGUUUACAGCCUGGCAGGAUAAAUCAGAUGACCUUUAAAAAGUAAAAGGCUGUUCUCCAAGCAUCUCAGACUGAAGGCUCUUGGACUCAAGCUCUGCAGUGAAGUCAAUUUUCUUGCUAUUAAACCACUGAUACAUUUACAGUGUGGGCUCCUUACAUCAUCUGACAUUUUGACAUCAGUCUGAGAGGAACCCUGGCCUGCUAAAUUGGGAUGUUAUUUAUGAUAAAUGUGUCAAAACCACUUCAGACAUGUCUGUUAUGGCCACACUCUUCAUAUUUAUCCAUUUCAUGCUCUGAGAGUCAUGUGUUCUACACAUGUUAGAAGAAAUCACUGUGGGGCUACAGGAAAAUUCAGAUCUUUCCAUCCUCCAAGGGCAGAAUGUUCAGUGGCAGCCAGUCAGUUCUACACUGCUUAAAGUGCUUGGGACAUGCUGGGAGAUAAUUGUACAGGUGACAAAAUGCAACACAAACCCUCAGUUGGAGCCUAUGGCUGGUGAGGAGGUUUUGUCACCGAGCUGAUGACAGCUGAUCACUGAAACUUCUCUCAGGUAAAUCACA
This 744-nucleotide long non-coding RNA is filed under the name Cyanistes caeruleus (blue tit). RNAcentral describes it as "lncRNA (ENSCCEG00000004382.1)". The record is from RNAcentral. Lineage: Eukaryota; Metazoa; Chordata; Aves; Passeriformes; Paridae.